RNAcentral lists this ribosomal RNA (442 nucleotides) under uncultured bacterium. RNAcentral's name for it is "partial 16S ribosomal RNA". It matches the Rfam family "Bacterial small subunit ribosomal RNA", at positions 338 to 795 of the family's 1533-position model. The record is from RNAcentral.
CCUACGGGGUGCAGCAGUAGGGAAUCUUUCACAAUGGGCGAAAGCCUGAUGGAGCAACGCCGCGUGCAGGAUGCAGGCCUUCGGGUUGUAAACUGCUUUUAUAAGCGAGAAAUAUGAUGGUAACUUAUGAAUAAGGAUCGGCUAACUACGUGCCGGCAGCCGCGGUCAUACGUAGGAUCCGAGCAUUAUCCGGAGUGACUGGGUGUAAAGAGUUGCGUAGGUGGCAUAAUAAGUAGCUAGUGAAAUCUGGUGGCUCAACCAUUCAGACUAUUAGCUAAACUGUUAAGCUCGAGACCGUUAGGGGUAACUGGAAUUUCUAGUGUAGGAGUGAAAUCCGUAGAUAUUAGAAGGAACACCAAUAGCGUAGGCAGGUUGCUGGGACGGUUCUGACACUAAGGCACGAAAGCGUAGGGAGCAAACGGGAUUAGAUACCCCGGUAGUC